Molecule: ribosomal RNA, 253 nt
Filed under: uncultured bacterium
Lineage: Bacteria
Description: partial 16S ribosomal RNA
Rfam family: Bacterial small subunit ribosomal RNA
Source: RNAcentral
UACGCAGGGUGCAAGCGUUAUCCGGAAUUACUGGGUGUAAAGGGUGCGUAGGCGGCUAUUUAAGUCAGAUGUGAAAACUCAGGGCUCAACCUUGAGGCUGCAUCUGAAACUGAGUAGCUAGAGUGUGGGAGAGGAAAGUGGAAUUCCGAGUGUAGCGGUGAAAUGCGUAGAGAUUCGGAGGAACACCAGUAGCGAAGGCGGCUUUCUGGACCAUAACUGACGCUGAGGCACGAAAGCGUGGGGAGCGUACCGG